This 497-nucleotide ribosomal RNA is filed under the name uncultured bacterium. RNAcentral's name for it is "partial 16S ribosomal RNA". It matches the Rfam family "Bacterial small subunit ribosomal RNA", at positions 28 to 507 of the family's 1533-position model. The record is from RNAcentral.
GAUGAACGCUGGCGGCGUGCCUAAUACAUGCAAGUCGAGCGAACAGACGAGGAGCUUGCUCCUCUGACGUUAGCGGCGGACGGGUGAGUAACAAGUGGCUAACCUACCUAUAAGACUGGGAUAACUUCGGGAAACCGGAGCUAAUACCGGAUAAUAUAUUGAACCGCAUGGUUCAAUAGUCAAAGACGGUUUUGCUGUCACUUAUCGAUGGAUCCGCGUCGCAUUAGCUAGUUGGGAAGGUAACGGCUUACCAAGGCAACGAUGCUUAGCCGACCUGAGAGGGUGAUCGGCCACACUGGAACUGGAACACGGUCCAGACUCCUACGGGAGGCAGCAGUAGGGAAUCUUCCGCAAUGGGCGAAAGCCUGACGGAACAACGGCGCGUGAGUGAGGAAGGUCUUCGGAUCGUAAAACUCUGUUAUUAGGGAAGAACAAAUGUGUAAGUAACUAUGCACGUCUUGACGGUACCUAGUCAGAAAGCCAGGGCUAACUACGUG